GCGAAGGCGACUCUUUGGUCUGUAACUGACGCUGAGGAGCGAACGCGUGGGGAGCGAACCGGAUUAGAUACCGUGGUAGUUCACGCCGUACCCGAUGAGUGCUAAGUGUGAGGGGGGUUUCGGCUGUUAGUGCUGCCGCUGGCGCAUUAAGCACUCAGCUUGGGGAGGUAGGUCGUCAGCAUGGCCCUCAAAGGGAGGGUGGGGGGCACGCUGCGGAGGUGGAGCAUGUGGUUUAAUUCGAAGCAACGCGAAGAACCUUACCAGGUAUUGACAUCUUCUGACAACCCUGGAGAUUGGGCUUUUCCUUCGGGGACAGAGUGACAGGUGGUGCAUGGUGGUCGUCAGCUCGUGUCGUGAGAUGUUAGGGUUAGGACCGCAACGAGCGCAACUCUUGUUCUUAGUUGCUAGCAUUCAGUUGGGACCUCUAAGGUGACUGCCGGUGACAAACCGGAGGAAGGUGGGGAUGACGUGAAAUCAUCAUGCCCCUUAUGACCUGGGCUACACACGUGUGACACUGGACAGCACAAAGGGCUGCGAGACCGCAAGGUUUAGCCAAUCCCACAAAUCUGUUCUCAGUUCGGAUCGCAGUCUGCAACUCGACUGCGUGAAGCUGGGAUUGCGCGUAAUCGCGGCGCGGAAUGAAGAGGUGACUACGUUCCCGGGCCUUGG
This 669-nucleotide ribosomal RNA is filed under the name Bacillus pumilus. Its description in RNAcentral is "bacterial SSU rRNA". It matches the Rfam family "Bacterial small subunit ribosomal RNA", at positions 715 to 1384 of the family's 1533-position model. The record is from RNAcentral. Lineage: Bacteria; Bacillati; Bacillota; Bacilli; Caryophanales; Bacillaceae.